CUUAUUGGCAAGAAUUUUGCUGGCCAAAGUUUUGUUAAGAAAAUUUCUUGCCAGGAGAG
This 59-nucleotide microRNA precursor is filed under the name Ciona intestinalis (vase tunicate). RNAcentral's name for it is "microRNA cin-mir-4146 precursor". Lineage: Eukaryota; Metazoa; Chordata; Ascidiacea; Phlebobranchia; Cionidae. The record is from miRBase by way of RNAcentral.